RNAcentral lists this ribosomal RNA (35 nucleotides) under uncultured Peziza. Its description in RNAcentral is "partial 28S ribosomal RNA". Lineage: Eukaryota; Fungi; Ascomycota; Pezizomycetes; Pezizales; Pezizaceae. The record is from RNAcentral.
ACCUCAGAUCAGGUAGGGAUACCCGCUGAACUUAA